GAUGAACGCUGGCGGCGUGCCUAAUACAUACAAGUCGAGCGAACAGACGAGGAGCUUGCUCCUCUGACGUUAGCGGCGGACGGGUGAGUAACACGUGGAUAACCUACCUAUAAGACUGGGAUAACUUCGGGAAACCGGAGCUAAUACCGGAUAAUAUAUUGAACCGCAUGGUUCAAUAGUGAAAGACGGUUUUGCUGUCACUUAUAGAUGGAUCCGCGCCGCAUUAGCUAGUUGGUAAGGUAACGGCUUACCAAGGCAACGAUGCGUAGCCGACCUGAGAGGGUGAUCGGCCACACUGGAACUGAGACACGGUCCAGACUCCUACGGGAGGCAGCAGUAGGGAAUCUUCCGCAAUGGGCGAAAGCCUGACGGAGCAACGCCGCGUGAGUGAUGAAGGUCUUCGGAUCGUAAAACUCUGCUAUUAGGGAAGAACAAAUGUGUAAGUAACUAUGCACGUCUUGACGGUACCUAAUCAGAAAGCCACGGCUAACUACGUG
RNAcentral lists this ribosomal RNA (497 nucleotides) under uncultured bacterium. RNAcentral's name for it is "partial 16S ribosomal RNA". It matches the Rfam family "Bacterial small subunit ribosomal RNA", at positions 28 to 507 of the family's 1533-position model. The record is from RNAcentral.